RNAcentral lists this ribosomal RNA (282 nucleotides) under uncultured prokaryote. RNAcentral's name for it is "partial 16S ribosomal RNA". It matches the Rfam family "Bacterial small subunit ribosomal RNA", at positions 524 to 803 of the family's 1533-position model. The record is from RNAcentral.
UACGUAUGGGGCGAGCGUUGUUCGGAAUUAUUGGGUGUAAAGGGCGUCUAGGCGGGAGAUUAAGUUAGAUGUGAAAGGCGUGGGCUUAACCCACGAAUUGCAUCUAAAACUGGUUUUCUUGAGUUCGGGAGAGGAGAGCGGAAUUCCUAGUGUAGCGGUGAAAUGCGUAGAGAUUAGGAAGAACACCAGUGGCGAAGGCGAUUCUCUGGACUGUAACUGACGCUGAGGCUCGAAAGCGUGGGGAGCAAACAGGAUUAGAUACCCCGGUAGUCCCUGAGCGGG